GGCCUGAGAGCUCAACUGGUAGAGCACUGCACUGGCAUUGCAGAGGUCAGGGUUUGAAUCCCUUUAGGCCU
RNAcentral lists this transfer RNA (71 nucleotides) under Acropora cervicornis. RNAcentral's name for it is "tRNA-Ala". It matches the Rfam family "tRNA". Rfam says of the family: Transfer RNA (tRNA) molecules are approximately 80 nucleotides in length. Their secondary structure includes four short double-helical elements and three loops (D, anti-codon, and T loops). Further hydrogen bonds mediate the characteristic L-shaped molecular structure. tRNAs have two regions of fundamental functional importance: the anti-codon, which is responsible for specific mRNA codon recognition, and the 3' end, to which the tRNAs corresponding amino acid is attached (by aminoacyl-tRNA synthetases). tRNAs cope with the degeneracy of the genetic code in two manners: having more than one tRNA (with a specific anti-codon) for a particular amino acid; and 'wobble' base-pairing, i.e. permitting non-standard base-pairing at the 3rd anti-codon position. Lineage: Eukaryota; Metazoa; Cnidaria; Anthozoa; Scleractinia; Acroporidae. The record is from RNAcentral.